UCUCAUUUUGAGGAUUCCCAGUCUCAAAAUGAGGUUUCCUUCUUGGACAUAUAGCUUCGCUCCUUCCUCGAAUUGAAACGUCUUAAUAAUAUAUUGCAUGCGUGAUGAUGGAGGAGGAGAUGUCGAGAGAGUCCACAAGAAAAUCAUAGGAUCGGUGACCCUGAAAUUAUGGUGGUGGACCAUUUAAUGAUGAGAUGACUUUCCGGAUUAUUAUAGAGUUUGCUUUGCUGAUUGUGCAUGGACGAAGGAUGAUAAGUUUGCUCUGUCGAACUGUGGGAUCAGAAAAGAAGAUGAUAGAGGCAAUAAAUCAUCGAAGAAGUUUAUCCGCUUUACACGCAAAAUGUAAAACUUUGAUAUAAGCUAUAGAGUGAAUGAACACCCUAAAUUAUUCAGAAGUCGUUUUCGCAACAGAAUGUUCUCAAUUAGUAAAGAUGAUAUCCUUAUAAGAAGAAUUGCCAGCUUUUGCUACA
Long non-coding RNA from Raphanus sativus (radish), 470 nucleotides. RefSeq lists it as uncharacterized. The record is from RefSeq and is a predicted model, not a curated record. NCBI's taxonomy places the organism in Eukaryota, Viridiplantae, Streptophyta, Magnoliopsida, Brassicales, Brassicaceae. The transcript has 3 exons.